Oryza brachyantha (malo sina) is the source of this 620-nucleotide long non-coding RNA. RefSeq lists it as uncharacterized. The record is from RefSeq and is a predicted model, not a curated record. Lineage: Eukaryota; Viridiplantae; Streptophyta; Magnoliopsida; Poales; Poaceae. The transcript has 3 exons.
CUGCAACCCCCAUCGGAUAAGAAGGCCGGCCGCGUCGACGACCCAACCGGAGACGACGGAAUGGCGCCAUCUGAUACAGCGGCUGCUUCCCAGGCGAGCGAGCUCCGAAUCUGGCCAUUUCAGCCUCAUCAGUCCCUCCCUCAUCCUUCUAGUUAAACAGUGCCUGGAUACUGAUGCGUGAAGGUGUCCCAGAUGCUCGGUCCUCUGCCCCCUUCCGCUGCGCCACCCUCAUACUGCAUCAUGCGUGAAGCAACGACCAAUUCUUCAGGAAAAAUAAGGUGGAAGCCUGACCUGAUAGGACGAAGAGGAUGUCCCGAAGAUGAAGUCCUUGGGGAAGCUUCUCCGGCUGAUCGGCGGCAGCUCGCCGGCGUCGACGCUGGCGACAGCCAGGAGGAGGAGGAGAAGACGACCACCGGACACCACCACCGCCCCAGGAAACGCCAUCUGAAGUGUGACCCUGCAACAGAGAGAGUGAUGGAUAUCUGAAGACAAGCGGCUCAACAUAGCGUCCCCAUAAAUAGCGACUUGCAUUGGCAUCUUGUUGGAUUUGUGUGGACUACCAUACCAUGAGGACUACUCACCAAGCAAUGCAAUAUUGCUGAUAGCGAUGGAUUUUUGUA